Molecule: long non-coding RNA, 1360 nt
Filed under: Equus caballus (horse)
Lineage: Eukaryota; Metazoa; Chordata; Mammalia; Perissodactyla; Equidae
Description: lncRNA (ENSECAG00000046538.1)
Source: RNAcentral
GGAGGCUCCGCCCCCGUCUCCUGGUUGGCUCUGCUUCCUCCGCCUCCGGAGAGGACACGCCCCUCCGCCCCGCCAAGCAGCCCUAAUUGGAGGCGAGGAUGGGGGGUUUCUGCCUCCCUUGCUUGGUUUCUUACGUCAGUUAGGUGUGGUUUUCAUUUAAUACUUAGAUUUUAAUAGUUGAUUUCUUCAAAUGGGCUUUAGCAUUAUUUAUUUUGCCUCUGAUGACUCUGUCUUCUGGUCUAAAGUAUUAAAUCCCUCUCUGUUUUUCAAUUUACAGCCUGGCUGCUCUAGGUUCACAAAGCUUUUCCAUUAAAGGUCUCUCUCCUCUGCCAAUAUUUAUUGUUAGAGUCACUAUUUGCCCAGAAGGUACUGUCUGCUGCAUCUUCUGGGAAAUGAAAUUUAUUUCUCCUGACAUUGAUGGGGGUGACAUCACUCAAGCACUGUUUACAUCACCAAGUCGCAUAAGCCCUGAGCCCAAAGGCUCCAACGGAUGACAAAGAGAAAAGAGAAGAUACUGCAUCCAAGAAAAAAGAACAGACUCAAACAGAAAAGGAAUAUUCAAAAGCCAAAAUGGAAUUCUUAGAAAUUAAAAACAACAGAAAUGAGAAACUCAACAGUAAAUCUCUCAGAAAGUCAAGCAAAAAGACAAAGAGAUAGAAAAAUUGGAGGGAAAAUAGCAAGCCAAAUUAGAAGACUAGUCCAAGAAUUCGAAUAUCUAAGUAAUAGGAGUUCCAGAGAGAGGGAGAGAAAAAAACAAAAACAAAAACAGAAAACGGAAAACAGAAAAGAGGUAAUCACAAAUGAAAUUACCGUACUCGCUCCUAAUCCGUGAAGGUACGUUCCAAGACCCCAGUGGAUGUCUGAAACCACAGAUCAUGGUCCUCCGAGAAGCAGACACCAAAACAGAAUUUGAUGUGCAAGAAAUUUACUGGGGAAAAUGCCUAUGAAAGAUAAAGGAGGAAGAAGCAGGAGUGGAUGGGGAGAGCCUUCACACAAACGAGGUGAGGCAGGUCUGACUCAUGUGAAAGGAGAGCAGGAAGGAAGAAUAUCAGCCUGCAGGGCAGUUUGGAGAAAGUCUCCUCCAGGUCCAGAAAGAACCUCCGAAGCCUGCAUGGCCUGUCGGAGGAGUCCCACAAGACUCACAAUAUUGACCUGUUCAGUGAUGUUGAGGGAAGACUGGCCAUAAAAAUUCAGAUCAUGGCCUGGGAAGUCCUAUCAUAACACCCGGAAGGAAGACAAACUGAGACAAACAACAUGCCCAGUGGUGCAGUUUCUGUGUGCUUUUAAACACCUGCAUGAAGAAAUCUUGUGUGCUGACUGUCUUCACUAGGAACCUGAAAUGACAGUUCUAUCUUAAAUG